This 69-nucleotide transfer RNA is filed under the name Genetta abyssinica. Its description in RNAcentral is "tRNA-His". It matches the Rfam family "tRNA". Rfam says of the family: Transfer RNA (tRNA) molecules are approximately 80 nucleotides in length. Lineage: Eukaryota; Metazoa; Chordata; Mammalia; Carnivora; Viverridae. The record is from RNAcentral.
GUAUACAUAGUUUAACAAAAACAUUAGAUUGUGAGUCUAACAAUAGAAGCUCAAAUCUUCUUGUAUACC